This 482-nucleotide ribosomal RNA is filed under the name uncultured bacterium. RNAcentral describes it as "partial 16S ribosomal RNA". It matches the Rfam family "Bacterial small subunit ribosomal RNA", at positions 28 to 523 of the family's 1533-position model. The record is from RNAcentral.
GACGAACGCUGGCGGCGCGCCUAACACAUGCAAGUCGAACGGAGCUUUGAGAGCUUGCUUUUAAAGCUUAGUGGCGAACGGGUGAGUAACGCGUGAGUAACCUGCCCUGGAGUGGGGGACAACAGUUGGAAACGACUGCUAAUACCGCAUAAGCCCACGGCCCGGCAUCGGGCUGAGGGAAAAGGAUUUAUUCGCUUCAGGAUGGACUCGCGUCCAAUUGGCUAGUUGGUGAGGUAACGGCCCACCAAGGCGACGAUUGGUAGCCGGACUGAGAGGUUGAACGGCCACAUUGGGACUGAGACACGGCCCAGACUCCUACGGGAGGCAGCAGUGGGGGAUAUUGCACAAUGGGGGAAACCCUGAUGCAGCGACGCCGCGUGGAGGAAGAAGGUUUUCGGAUUGUAAACUCCUGUCGUUAGGGACGAUAAUGACGGUACCUAACAAGAAAGCACCGGCUAACUACGUGCCAGCCGCCGCGGUAA